Molecule: ribosomal RNA, 405 nt
Filed under: uncultured bacterium
Lineage: Bacteria
Description: partial 16S ribosomal RNA
Rfam family: Bacterial small subunit ribosomal RNA
Source: RNAcentral
AUUGAACGCUGGCGGCAGGCUUAACACAUGCAAGUCGAACGAGUGGCGGACGGGUGAGUAAUGUUUGGGCAUCUGGCUGAUGGAGGGGGAUAACUACUGGAAACUGUAGCUAAUACCGCUUACCAUAGGAUGAGCCCAAGUGGGAUUAGGUAGUUGGUGGGGUAAAGGCUCACCAAGCCGAAGAUCUCUAGCUGGUCUGAGAGGAUGAUCAGCCACACUGGGACUGAGACACGGACCAGACUCCUACGGGAGGCAGUAGUGGGGAAUAGUGCGCAAUGGGAGCAACCUGACGCAGCCAUGCCGCGUGAAUGAAGAAGGCCUUAGGGUUGGAAAGUUCUUUCGGUAGCGAGGCGUUAACUACAGAAGAAGCACCGGCUAACUCCGUGCCAGCAGCCGCGGUAAUUC